Molecule: ribosomal RNA, 535 nt
Filed under: fungal sp. ZH S50-4-1
Lineage: Eukaryota; Fungi
Description: eukaryotic LSU rRNA
Rfam family: 5.8S ribosomal RNA (bases 138-291)
Source: RNAcentral
AAACUCCAACCCAUGUGAACCUUACCUCUAUGUUGCUUCGGCGGCCGAAGGCCUCCCCUCGGGGGGGAAGGACGCCGCCGGAGGUACCAAACUCUGAAUUUUUUAGUGUAUCUCUGAGCCUGAAACAAAAUAAUCAAAACUUUCAACAACGGAUCUCUUGGUUCUGGCAUCGAUGAAGAACGCAGCGAAAUGCGAUAAGUAAUGUGAAUUGCAGAAUUCAGUGAAUCAUCGAAUCUUUGAACGCACAUUGCGCCCGCCGGUAUUCCGGCGGGCAUGCCUGUUCGAGCGUCAUUUCACCACUCAAGCCCAGCUUGGUGUUGGGGCGCCCGGUACUCCUAAGCGAGGGCCGGGGCCCCCAAGUUCAUCGGCGGGCUCGUCGGGACUCUGAGCGCAGUAACUCGCGGUAACACGCGCUUCGCUCGGUAGGUCCAGGCGGGUUCUAGCGGCGAAACACCCCCUUUUUUUUAAACAAGGUUGACCUCGGAUCAGGUAGGAAUACCCGCUGAACUUAAGCAUAUCAAUAAGGCGGGAGGAA